RNAcentral lists this ribosomal RNA (494 nucleotides) under uncultured bacterium. Its description in RNAcentral is "bacterial SSU rRNA". It matches the Rfam family "Bacterial small subunit ribosomal RNA", at positions 899 to 1397 of the family's 1533-position model. The record is from RNAcentral.
ACUCAAAGGAAUAGACGGGGACCCGCACAAGCAGCGGAGCAUGUGGUUUAAUUCGAAGCAACGCGAAGAACCUUACCAGGGCUUGACAUCCCCCUGACAGGCAUUUAACAGUGCCCUCCUCCGGGCAGGGGAGACAGGUGGUGCAUGGUUGUCGUCAGCUCGUGUCGUGAGAUGUUGGGUUAAGUCCCGCAACGAGCGCAACCCUUGUUAUUAGUUGCCAUCAUUAAGUUGGGCACUCUAGUAAGACUGCCGGGGAUAACUCGGAGGAAGGUGGGGAUGACGUCAAAUCAUCAUGCCCCUUAUGCCCUGGGCUACACACGUGCUACAAUGGCCGGUACAACAAGCAGCGAUGCCGCGAGGCGGAGCAAAUCUCAAAAACCGGCCCCAGUUCGGAUUGUAGGCUGCAACUCGCCUACAUGAAGCCGGAGUUGCUAGUAAUCGCAGAUCAGAAUGCUGCGGUGAAUGCGUUCCCGGGUCUUGCACACACCGCCCGU